RNAcentral lists this microRNA precursor (110 nucleotides) under Marmota monax (woodchuck). Lineage: Eukaryota; Metazoa; Chordata; Mammalia; Rodentia; Sciuridae. The record is from RNAcentral.
AGUGGGAUAGCUGGGUCAAAUGGUGGUUCCAUUCCCAGUUUUCCAUGGAAUCUCCACACUGCUUUCCAUAUUCCAAAAUGGCUGUACCAUUUUGCAGUCCCACCAGCAAU